Molecule: ribosomal RNA, 974 nt
Filed under: Psychrobacter sp. UST050418-590
Lineage: Bacteria; Pseudomonadati; Pseudomonadota; Gammaproteobacteria; Moraxellales; Moraxellaceae
Description: bacterial SSU rRNA
Rfam family: Bacterial small subunit ribosomal RNA
Source: RNAcentral
CGGAAACGAUGGUAGCUUGCUACCAGGCGUCUGAGCGGCGGACGGGUGAGUAAUACUUAGGAAUCUACCUAGUAGUGGGGGAUAGCACGGGGAAACUCGUAUUAAUACCGCAUACGACCUACGGGAGAAAGGGGGCAGUUUACUGCUCUCGCUAUUAGAUGAGCCUAAGUCGGAUUAGCUAGAUGGUGGGGUAAAUGGCCUACCAUGGCGACGAUCUGUAGCUGGUCUGAGAGGAUGAUCAGCCACACCGGGACUGAGACACGGCCCGGACUCCUACGUGGAGGCAGCAGUGGGGAAUAUUGGACAAUGGGGGAAACCCUGAUCCAGCCAUGCCGCGUGUGUGAAGAAAGGCCUUUAAGGUUGUAAAGCACUUAACGGCAGUGCAAGAACGACUCUUCGGUUAAAUACCCGGAGAACGAUGGACAAUUAGCUGCAGAAUAAGCAACCGGGCUAACUCUGGUGCCAGCAAGCCCGCGGGUAAUACAGAGGGUGCAAGCGUCUAAUUCGGAAUUACCUGGGCGUAAAGCGAGCGUAGGUGGGCUUGAUAAGUCAGAUGUGAAAUCCCCGGGCUUAACCUGGGAUACUGCAUCUGAAACUGUUAGGCUAGAGUAGGUGAGAGGGAAGUAGAAUUUCAGGUGUAGCGGUGAAAUGCGUAGAGAUCUGAAGGAAUACCGAUGGCGAAGGCAGCUUCCUGGCAUCAUACUGACACUGAGGCUCGAAAGCGUGGGUAGCAAACAGGAUUAGAUACCCUGGUAGUCCACGCCGUAAACAGAUCGUCUACUAGUCGUUGGGUCCCUUGAGGACUUAGUGACGCAGCUAACGCAAUAAGUAGACCGCCUGGGGAGUACGGCACGCAAGGUUAAAACUCAAAUGAAUUGACGGGGGCCCGCACAAGCAGGUGGAGCAUGUGGUUUAAUUCGAUGCAACGCGAAGAACACUUACCUGGUCGUUGACAUAUCUAGAAUCACUGCAGA